This 74-nucleotide transfer RNA is filed under the name Candidatus Organicella extenuata. RNAcentral describes it as "tRNA-Val". It matches the Rfam family "tRNA". From Rfam's summary of the family: Transfer RNA (tRNA) molecules are approximately 80 nucleotides in length. Their secondary structure includes four short double-helical elements and three loops (D, anti-codon, and T loops). The record is from RNAcentral. Lineage: Bacteria; Pseudomonadati; Verrucomicrobiota.
AGACAGUUAACUCAGUUGGCUAGAGUGGUUGGUUUACAUCCAAUAAGUCGUAGGUUCGAGUCCUAUACUGUCUA